GACCGAUCCUAAUGCCUAGUGGUUAGAGCGUCCGCCUCAAAUGCGGGAGGUCGCUGGUUCAAACCAGACCGAACCA
Potamilus streckersoni is the source of this 76-nucleotide non-coding RNA. Lineage: Eukaryota; Metazoa; Mollusca; Bivalvia; Unionida; Unionidae. The record is from the annotation of a GenBank genome assembly.